RNAcentral lists this ribosomal RNA (603 nucleotides) under Cautires sp. UPOL 000069. RNAcentral describes it as "partial 16S ribosomal RNA". It matches the Rfam family "Bacterial large subunit ribosomal RNA", at positions 1816 to 2714 of the family's 2925-position model. Lineage: Eukaryota; Metazoa; Arthropoda; Insecta; Coleoptera; Lycidae. The record is from RNAcentral.
CAUGUCUUUUUGAAAAUAAUUUAAAGUCGGGCCUGCUCAAUGAAAAUUAAAUAGCCGCAGUAUUUUAACUGUGCAAAGGUAGCAUAAUAAUUAGUUUCUUGAUUGGGAAAUGGAAUGAAUGGUUUGACAAGAAAAUUUCUGUCUCUUUCUAAGUUUUAAUGAAUUUUAUUUUUAAGUGAAAAAGCUUAAAUUUGUUUAAAAGACGAGAAGACCCUAUAGAGUUUAAUAUUUAAAGUAAAAUUAUAAAUUAGAAUAGUUUUUUACAAAAAUUUAUUUGGUUGGGGUGAUUGAAAGAUAAAAUAAAUUCUUUUAAAUUUAAUUGGAUAUUUUCAAAUUUUUAAUCUAUAUGUUAUAAAUUUAAAAUAAAUUACCUUAGGGAUAACAGCGUAAUUUUUUUUUAAAGCUCUUAUUAAAAGAAAAGUUUGCGACCUCGAUGUUGGAUUAAAAUUAAUUUUUGGUGCAAUAACUAAAGAAUUAGGUCUGUUCGACCUUUAAAAUUUUACAUGAUCUGAGUUUAAACCGGUGUGAGCCAGGUUGGAUUCUAUCUUUAGAAUAAUUAAUAUAUAUUAGUACGAAAGGACCAUAUAUAAAUUAAAUUAAUUG